AUUGAACGCUGGCGGCAGGCCUAACACAUGCAAGUCGAGCGGAUGAAGGGAGCUUGCUCCUGGAUUCAGCGGCGGACGGGUGAGUAAUGCCUAGGAAUCUGCCUGGUAGUGGGGGAUAACGUCCGGAAACGGGCGCUAAUACCGCAUACGUCCUGAGGGAGAAAGUGGGGGAUCUUCGGACCUCUCGCUAUCAGAUGAGCCUAGGUCGGAUUAGCUAGUUGGUGGGGUAAAGGCCUACCAAGGCGACGAUCCGUAACUGGUCUGAGAGGAUGAUCAGUCACACUGGAACUGAGACACGGUCCAGACUCCUACGGGAGGCAGCAGUGGGGAAUAUUGGACAAUGGGCGAAAGCCUGAUCCAGCCAUGCCGCGUGUGUGAAGAAGGUCUUCGGAUUGUAAAGCACUUUAAGUUGGGAGGAAGGGCAGUAAGUUAAUACCUUGCUGUUUUGACGUUACCAACAAAAUAAGCACCGGCUAACUUCGUG
Molecule: ribosomal RNA, 484 nt
Filed under: uncultured bacterium
Lineage: Bacteria
Description: partial 16S ribosomal RNA
Rfam family: Bacterial small subunit ribosomal RNA
Source: RNAcentral